CGGCGACCGGCGCACGGGUGAGUAACGCGUAUCCAACCUUCCGUACACUCAGGGAUAGCCUUUCGAAAGAAAGAUUAAUACCUGAUGGUAUGAUGAGAUUGCAUGAUAGCAUCAUUAAAGAUUUAUCGGUGUACGAUGGGGAUGCGUUCCAUUAGGUAGUAGGCGGGGUAACGGCCCACCUAGCCAACGAUGGAUAGGGGUUCUGAGAGGAAGGUCCCCCACAUUGGAACUGAGACACGGUCCAAACUCCUACGGGAGGCAGCAGUGAGGAAUAUUGGUCAAUGGGCGCUAGCCUGAACCAGCCAAGUAGCGUGAAGGAUGAGGGCUCUAUGGGUCGUAAACUUCUUUUAUAUAAGAAUAAAGUGCAGUAUGUAUACUGUUUUGUAUGUAUUAUAUGUAUAAGGAUCGGCUAACUCCGUGCCAGCAGCCGCGGUAAUACGGAGGAUCCGAGCGUUAUCCGGAUUUAUUGGGUUUAAAGGGAGCGUAGGUGGACUGGUAAGUCAGUUGUGAGAGUUUGUGGCUCAACCGUAAAAUUGCAGUUGAUACUGUCAGUCUUGAGUACAGUAGAGGUGGGCGGAAUUCGUGGUGUAGCGGUGAAAUGCUUAGAUAUCACGAAGAACUCCGAUUGCGAAGGCAGC
RNAcentral lists this ribosomal RNA (638 nucleotides) under uncultured bacterium. RNAcentral describes it as "bacterial SSU rRNA". It matches the Rfam family "Bacterial small subunit ribosomal RNA", at positions 89 to 725 of the family's 1533-position model. The record is from RNAcentral.